UGGGGAAUCUUGCACAAUGGGCGAAAGCCUGAUGCAGCGACGCCGCGUGAGCGAUGAAGGCCUUCGGGUUGUAAAGCUCUGUGGGGAGGGACGAAUAUAGGUUGGCUAAUAUCCAACCUGAUGACGGUACCUCCUUAGCAAGCACCGGCUAACUCUGUGCCAGCAGCCGCGGUAAGACAGAGGGUGCAAACGUUGUUCGGAAUUACUGGGCGUAAAGCGCGUGUUAGGCGGCUACAUAAGUCGGACGUGAAAUCCCAUGGCUCAACCGUGGAAGUGCGCUCGAAACUGUGUAGCUUGAGUCCUGGAGAGGAAGGCGGAAUACUUGGUGUAGAGGUGAAAUUCGUAGAUAUCAGGUAGAACACCAGUGGCGAAGGCGGCUUCUGGACAGUGACUGACGCUGAGACGCGAAAGCGUGGGGAGCGAAACAGGAUUAGAUACCCUGGUAGUCCACGCCGUAAACUAUGAGUGCUAGGUGUC
This 477-nucleotide ribosomal RNA is filed under the name uncultured Pseudomonadota bacterium. Its description in RNAcentral is "bacterial SSU rRNA". It matches the Rfam family "Bacterial small subunit ribosomal RNA", at positions 355 to 824 of the family's 1533-position model. The record is from RNAcentral. Lineage: Bacteria; Pseudomonadati; Pseudomonadota.